AUUGAACGCUGGCGGAAUGCUUAACACAUGCAAGUCGAACGGCAGCAGGGGGGUUGCCCUGGUGGUGAGUGGCGGACGGGUGAGUAAUGCAUAGGAACGUGCCCGGUCGUGGGGGAUAACGUCUCGAAAGUUACGCUAAUACCGCAUACGUACUGAGGGUGAAAGUGGGGGACCUUCGGAACUCGCGCGAUCAGAGCGGCCGAUGUCCGAUUGGGUAGGUGGUGGGGUAAAGGCCUACCAAGCCGACGAUCUGUAGCUGGUCUGAGAGGAUGAGUAGCCACACUGAGACUGAGACACGGCCCAGACUCCUACGGGAGGCAGCAGUGGGGAAUUUUGGACAAUGGGCGGAAGCCUGAUCCAGCCAUACCGCGUGUAUGACGAAGGCCUUCUGGUUGUAAACUGCUUUUGUUCGGAACGAAAAGGCGUUGGCUAAUACCUGGAGGUCAUGACGGUACCAUAAGAAUAAGCACCGGCUAACUACGUG
This 484-nucleotide ribosomal RNA is filed under the name uncultured bacterium. Its description in RNAcentral is "partial 16S ribosomal RNA". It matches the Rfam family "Bacterial small subunit ribosomal RNA", at positions 30 to 507 of the family's 1533-position model. The record is from RNAcentral.